RNAcentral lists this ribosomal RNA (468 nucleotides) under uncultured bacterium. Its description in RNAcentral is "partial 16S ribosomal RNA". It matches the Rfam family "Bacterial small subunit ribosomal RNA", at positions 28 to 507 of the family's 1533-position model. The record is from RNAcentral.
GACGAACGCUGGCGGCGUGCUUAACACAUGCAAGUCGAACGGAAAGGCCCUGCUUUUGUGGGUUUCUCGAGUGGCGAACGGGGGAGAAAAACGUGAGGAACCUGCCCUUAACUUUGGGAUAACUUCAGGAAACUGGGGCUAAUACCGGAGAGGAGCUCCUGCUGCAUGGGGGGGGAUGGAAAGUUUCGGCGGUUGGGGAUGGUCUCGCGGCUUAUCAGCUUGUUGGUGUGGUUGUGGCUGACAAAGGCUUUGACGGGUAGCCGGCCUGGGAGGGUGACCGGCCACCUUGGGACUGCGGUACGGCCCAGACUCCUACGGGAGGCAGCAGUGGGGAAUAUUGCACAAUGGGCGGACGCCUGAUGCAGCAACGCCGCGUGCGGGAUGACGGCCUUCGGGUUGUAAACCGCUUUCGCCGGUGACGAAGCGUGAGUGACGGUAAUGGGUAAAGAAGCACCGGCUAACUACGUG